Long non-coding RNA from Anneissia japonica, 1163 nucleotides. RefSeq lists it as uncharacterized. Lineage: Eukaryota; Metazoa; Echinodermata; Crinoidea; Comatulida; Comatulidae. The transcript has 2 exons. The record is from RefSeq and is a predicted model, not a curated record.
UGAUCUCAUUCCAGAUUUUUUUUCUUUAAAUAAAAUCACAGAGAAAGAACGUUUUGCUGUAUAUUUAUAGAGAUGAGGCAUAGUAAAUGUCAAUAGAGUUGAUGUGAGUUGCCACCCACAGAAUAAGCAGUUCAAUAGCGUAGAAACAUGUAAACCAAAGUUUAUCUAAUUCCCAUUGUGAAUCAAAGCAAAUUUCAUUAUUCAAGAUACAUUAUCAUAUUACUAUAAUGCAAUAUUUAUAAAAAAACAUGUUUCACUGAUUUCUUAAUACAAAUAUGCCUAAAUUGAUACCAUUCAAGUAAAAGGCCAAUGAAAAUAUAUAUAUUUCUAUUAUAUUUCUAUAGUGAAUUCUCCCUAUGAAAACUUUUAUUUUGCAUUUACAAUUUUUACCUGUCUUAAGAAAUAGCUCAGUUGAAUCAGAGAUAGGCAAACAAAAUUGACCUUAGACUUGAAAAAAAAAAAUCAUGAAUUUAUGUGAUAAGGCUAAAUGUCACCCUGAUACAAGAAGCCAGCACCCUGGACAAUACAGAACUAAGGUCAUUAUUUCUGCUUACAUGCCUUCAGAAAUUCAAAAGAAAAAUUAUUUUCAAAUGAUGGGAUACAAUACACUUAAUAUUAUCUAUGUAAUAUAUAAUAUUAAAUAUGAAUACAAGUGAUUCAUUAUACCUGUUUUUAAUUAUAUGAAUAAAUUUGACUGACUUGAUAUUUUAGCAAUGUGUACUAUUUUAAAAUAUAUUCAUUCACUGAAAGACAUGUUUUGGCUUGGUGUAGGCCUAUUUUUAAAAUUGCUUUUGAUCCAACUGCCUGAUGAGCUUGGCCGGUGGGGGGGGGGGCCUUGACUUGUUCGAUGGGGGGCUUAACCCCACUGGCGCCGCCACUUGACCAAUCAUCCGUUUGUAAAAAGUCUGAAUACAUCUCUGAUUAUCAAACACCAUUUGAGAUUUUAUGAUACAGAUAGAAGAAUGGAAGUGUUAGAAAACAAAAAAACAAAAUGCUAGGCUACUAACUAACACCAAUGAAUAUUUGAAAAGGUUUAAAUCGUAUUUUGCUUGCUCAAAUAUUUACAAAUGAUCAAACAUUCUACUGUCAAAACCCACUCUCAAACUUGGAAAUUAAAAAAAAAUUCUAAAGAGAACACCCAUUUUAAUUUACUUAUUGUAUAC